RNAcentral lists this ribosomal RNA (477 nucleotides) under uncultured bacterium. RNAcentral's name for it is "partial 16S ribosomal RNA". It matches the Rfam family "Bacterial small subunit ribosomal RNA", at positions 34 to 540 of the family's 1533-position model. The record is from RNAcentral.
AGCGAACGCUGGCGGCAGGCUUAACACAUGCAAGUCGAGCGGGCAUCCUUGUGGUGUCCGCGGCAGACGGGUGAGUAACGCGUGGGAACGUGCCCUUCGGUUCGGAAUAACUCAGGGAAACUUGAGCUAAUACCGGAUACGUGCGAGAGCAGAAAGGUUAUCUGCCGAAGGAUCGGCCCGCGUCUGAUUAGCUAGUUGGUGAGGUUACGGCUCACCAAGGCGACGAUCAGUAGCUGGUCUGAGAGGAUGAUCAGCCACACUGGGACUGAGACACGGCCCAGAGUACGAGGGGGGGCAGGGGGGGAGAAUAGAGGAAAAGGGGGUAAGCGCUAAUCGAGAGGUGCGGGGUGAGUGAGGACGGCCUGAGUGUAGAAAAGCGCUUGUCCGCGGUAAGAAAAGGGCGGCACCGGAGAAAUAAGCCCCGGCGAACGGCGGGGAAGAAGCGGGGAAAAGAAUAGGAAGAACAAGCGUCAGAAC